GUGAAAUGCUUAGAUAUUACAUGGAAUACCAAUUGCGAAGGGCAGGUUGCUACUGGUGGAUUGACGCUGAUGGACGAAAGCGUGGGUAGCGAACAGGAUUAGAUACCCUGGUAGUCCACGCCGUAAACGAUGGAUACUAGCUGUUGGGCGCAAGUUCAGUGGCUAAGCGAAAGUGAUAAGUAUCCCACCUGGGGAGUACGAACGCAAGUUUGAAACUCAAAGGAAUUGACGGGGGCCCGCACAAGCGGUGGAGCAUGUGGUUUAAUUCGAUGAUACGCGAGGAACCUUACCAAGGCUUAAAUGUAGGUUGACCGUUUUGGAAACAGAACUUUCGCAAGACAAUUUACAAGGUGCUGCAUGGUUGUCGUCAGCUCGUGCCGUGAGGUGUCAGGUUAAGUCCUAUAACGAGCGCAACCCCUGUUGUUAGUUGCCAGCGAGUCAUGUCGGGAACUCUAACAAGACUGCCAGUGCAAACUGUGAGGAAGGUGGGGAUGACGUCAAAUCAUCACGGCCCUUACGCCUUGGGCUACACACGUGUACAAUGGCCGGUACAGAGAGCAGCCACCCCGGAGGGGGAGCGAAUUACAAACCGGUCACAGUUGUAUCGGAGUUGUAAUGACUCCGUGAAAGUGGAAUCGUAGUAAUCGGAUAUCAGCCAUGAUCCGGUGAAUACGUUCCCGGGCUUGCACACAC
RNAcentral lists this ribosomal RNA (693 nucleotides) under uncultured bacterium. Its description in RNAcentral is "bacterial SSU rRNA". It matches the Rfam family "Bacterial small subunit ribosomal RNA", at positions 681 to 1390 of the family's 1533-position model. The record is from RNAcentral.